UACAGAGGUCUCAAGCGUUGUUCGGAUUCAUUGGCGUAAAGGGUGCGUAGGCGGCGCGGUAAGUCGGGUGUGAAAUCUCGGGGCUUAACUCCGAAACUGCAUUCGAUACUGCCGUGCUUGAGGACUGGAGAGGAGACUGGAAUUUACGGUGUAGCGGUGAAAUGCGUAGAUAUCCGAAGGAACAUCAGUGGCGAAAGCGGCUUCCUGGACCAGAACUGACGAUCAGGCACGAAAGCGUGGGGAGCAAACAGG
RNAcentral lists this ribosomal RNA (252 nucleotides) under uncultured bacterium. RNAcentral describes it as "partial 16S ribosomal RNA". It matches the Rfam family "Bacterial small subunit ribosomal RNA", at positions 524 to 776 of the family's 1533-position model. The record is from RNAcentral.